AUUGUUGGUUUGUAUGUGGACUUGGAUGUUGCCGUGUAACAACGGCUCGUCUGAAUGCCUGAGUGUACCCUGCUUUUGCGGCGUAUUCGGUGUGAUAAAUCUUCACCGGAGUUGACUUUCGGGUCGCGCUUGUAUUGUCGGGCUCUAUGCUUCCAACCGUCCUAACAAGACAAUCUUUGACAAUUUGACCUCAAAUCGGGUGGGACUACCCGCUGAACUUAAGCAUAUCAAUAAGCGGAGGAAAAGAAACUAACAAGGAUUCCCCUAGUAACGGCGAGUGAAGGGGGAAAAGCUCAAAUUUUGAAUCUGGUGUCUUUGACUCCCGAGUUGUAAUCUAGAGAAGUGUUUUCCGCGUUGGACCGUGUACAAGUUCCCUGGAACGGGGCGUCAUAGAGGGUGAGAAUCCCGUAUAUGCCACGGACUGCCAAUGCUCUGUGAUACACUCUCAACGAGUCGAGUUGUUUGGGAAUGCAGCUCAAAAUGGGUGGUAAAUUCCAUCUAAAGCUAAAUAUUGGCGAGAGACCGAUAGCGAACAAGUACCGUGAGGGAAAGAUGAAAAGCACUUUGGAAAGAGAGUGAAACAGUACGUGAAAUUGUUGAAAGGGAAGCGUUUGAAGUCAGUCACGUCUGUCGGAAUUCAGCCUGGCUUCUGCCUGGUGUACUUUCCGUCCGACGGGUCAGCAUCAAUUUCGACCGAGGGAAAAAGACGUGAGGAAUGUGGCUGUCUUCGGGCAGUGUUAUAGACUCGCGUUGUAUGUCUCGGUUGGGAUUGAGGAACGCAGCGCGCCUAUUGGCCGGGGGUUCGCGCCCCUCGGUACGCGCUUAGGAUGCUGGCAUAAUGCUA
This 844-nucleotide ribosomal RNA is filed under the name uncultured Sebacinales. RNAcentral describes it as "eukaryotic LSU rRNA". The stretch from base 186 to 844 matches the Rfam family "Eukaryotic large subunit ribosomal RNA", at positions 1 to 639 of the family's 3401-position model. The record is from RNAcentral. Lineage: Eukaryota; Fungi; Basidiomycota; Agaricomycetes; Sebacinales.